AGAAAUAAUAGUCCUUAUAUGAAUGUUUUCAGUCUCCAGGCAAGUAAAGUAUAGGAAAGACCUUUUUAUUAUUUGUUGAGUUGGGGUUUUUAUUUAAACAUUUCACUGCCACUGCAAAUCAGUGCCAGCCGUAUUGUUUCUGGUAUCCGCCUGUGGGCAGCUUAAGAACAGUGAAUGUGAGUGAGCCAACAUGGUUUUAACCUUCAAGAACAGCUGGAUAGAGGCAUAUUAAUGUCAUCCUGUUUUACUUAUGACUGACACAUUAUAACUAAAGAGCCAGAAUGGAUGGGCUCAAGACAGGCAGGUUCGAAUCAAGUAAUUAAGUGCAUUGCCCUGAAGUUAACAAAUCUAAAGAAAAGCUCAAUUGGCAUAGGCUUAUAACCCUGAGGCAGGAGUUAGACGCAGCAUCUCUCCCUCUCUGGCCAGUCACAGUCAGCAAACUUAACGCAACACCUCUAAGGGACACUAGGAUUGACCACAGACCCUAGCAAGUUAAAACUCUCACAGUACAGCCUAAAAAGAGACAGGCUUUGCAAAGUGACUUAUGUUGCCAGCCCACAGUGGUUAAGUGUAGGCUUUGGGUAAACCAUGCAGCAUGACAAGGCACUGCUGGAAAAGCCUGAAUACAUGACUGCUUUCAAACUCCAGUGCUAUUCUUAGUGGAUAUAUGUACAACAUGUCUAAAUCCAGGACUCUAAAUGGUUACGGCAUUUCCUGAAAUGAACAAGAAGAGAGCAAGAAGUAGGGAGGAAUAAAAUCAGACAUCUUCAGUCACACUGCUCAAACUGUAAGAAAGCCUGUCUGCUCGGUUGUGGCAAACUUUAAAAUUUACAUGACUGGAAAAAAGGAGUUUCAUUCUGUAACACCAGCACAGUAAUCUCAACCUUCAAAACAAACUUUCCUUAAAACACAAACUUCUAAAUCAUCAAAACUGCAUACGUGGAGUAUUCACACAGACAUAUAUCCACUGGAAGACCCGGAGCAAAUGAUAGCAGCAACAUAAAAUUUGAUGGUAUACAUCUUCCUGCAAAGCUGCAGAAGUUUCUUCUACAAGUCAGUGAAUGACAGCUGCACAUCACAAUUCAAAGACUAAACAAAUCAAGGACAUAUAUGUAGAUAUUUGUUCAUUGGUUUCAAAUCAAUUAAUGUGAUCAAGAUUCUUUAUGAUAUGCAUCCUGCAUGUUUUGGGUGGGUUCCUCCCACCCUGAAAAUAGCUCACAGUGACCUGCUAGUGCCUCACAAGAACAACCCAGAACACAAAUCAUAGAAUGGUUAGGGGUUGGAAAGGACCUUAAGAUCAUGUAGCUCCAAACCCCCACUAUGGGCAGGAGCACCUCACACUAAGCCGGCUUUCUCCAAGUCCCGUCCAACCUGGUCUUGAACACUGCCAGGGAUAGGGCAGCCACAGCUUCUCUGGGAAACUUGUUCCAGUGCCUCACCACCCUCACAACAAAGAAUUUCUUCCUUGUAUCCAACCUAAAUCUCCCCUGUUUAAGUUUGAACCCAUUACUCCUUAUCCCUUUCAUUUCAAGCACUCCUCUUUGUUUCUGAAGUCUAUGCAUCAGACAAAACUUGGUCUCUCAGAACAGAUAACCUAAACCCCACUGAUGCCCUCUGUCCUCAGAUGAAGACACAUUUCCCUUCAGUAAGCAAAAAGUGCAAAGUUACACAAACUGUAUCUGCUCAAACUGCAAAACUCUUUGCCAAGAACACCCAACUGCACCCAGCUGGAGCUGCAUAGGCUGGCAGAGGCUCCACAUUCCCGCAUGGCUGGGGGUGUUUCCCUCUCCCAGCCUGUAAUUUGCCUUGCACACUGCUGGGAGGAAACAGCAGCUCUCCCAGCUACUGACCUAACAUUGGACAGCCAGAUCUAGGGCAGCGAAGACCCACAGAAGGCCAGCAGCAGCAAAAUAUCCAUAGCAAUAAAAUGUGUCCCAUCCUCACUGCUUCUUUCACACCAAAUAGCCCAAGAGGAGAAAGGAAGACAUCCUGGAUAUGCCAAAUGACAAGUUGAAGUGGCUUCAAAUUCUGGCAGAGCUCUUAUGUGGCUAUUUCAAGUUACAGGAAAGAUCAGAAUAGUUCCAGAAAAACCUAUAAUUUGGAGCCUCUUUCAAGCACAUUCCUGUAUUCACUGGCCUUCAGUCAAUUACUGUGUAUUGGCAAUUCAUCAAGACAUAUCACACUGUGGACUGAAGUCCAUGCCAACCUCCAAACCCACUCCUCCUGUAAAUCAGUUCACAGCAGUAUCUAAGACUUUUUACACAGGCAUCUCCAAUGGGGAAAAGCAAAGAAGAACAAGUAAGUCUAAGCAACUUGCCUAAGGUUAUAGAUCAAAUAUGGGGAGUCUGAAUUUUCAAGUCAGUCUUAAUGACCACAAGCUUAUUCAACUGAAUGCCAUGCAAAAGCAUGCCAGAUCUUGUUCCCUGAACCUUCAUCAGCCACAGAUUUGACCCGGCUGAUACCCAUCCCAUUCAUAUCUCUAAACUGAGAGGACCAAAAAAAAAAACCCCAAAAAUAUAUGGUUUUCAGUAAUGUUCCUUUACAACUACUGGUUUAAACUCUCUGAUGGAUGAGACUGCAGUAAAACACACCUCAACAUUUCCAAGUUGUUUUUAGAAUCAAUGUUCUUGAUAACUCAGUUAUAAACUCAUUCCUACUUUUCACAGACCAGAACCUGACCUGUCCUGAUGUCAACCUCAGUUGCAAGUUUUGAUUAACACUGUGUUUAUACACUCUAGAUGUUCAGGAAGCCCAUGUCAUGUCUGCUAGCAGUGCACCAACAAUAAAAGGGAUACAGCACUUUGCAUGGAUAAAGAAUAACUGCCAUUGGUUGUUCUGUUCUAUCUCCUGUACCAUCCGCAAUGCUCACCU
Molecule: long non-coding RNA, 2871 nt
Organism: Neopsephotus bourkii (Bourke's parrot)
Lineage: Eukaryota; Metazoa; Chordata; Aves; Psittaciformes; Psittacidae
Exons: 3
Source: RefSeq, a predicted model, not a curated record